UGGCUUAGAGGGUAAAGCGUCUGCCUACAAUGCGGGAGACCCAGGUUCGAUCCCUGG
This 57-nucleotide transfer RNA is filed under the name Ovis aries (sheep). It matches the Rfam family "tRNA", at positions 8 to 63 of the family's 71-position model. Rfam says of the family: Transfer RNA (tRNA) molecules are approximately 80 nucleotides in length. Their secondary structure includes four short double-helical elements and three loops (D, anti-codon, and T loops). Further hydrogen bonds mediate the characteristic L-shaped molecular structure. tRNAs have two regions of fundamental functional importance: the anti-codon, which is responsible for specific mRNA codon recognition, and the 3' end, to which the tRNAs corresponding amino acid is attached (by aminoacyl-tRNA synthetases). tRNAs cope with the degeneracy of the genetic code in two manners: having more than one tRNA (with a specific anti-codon) for a particular amino acid; and 'wobble' base-pairing, i.e. permitting non-standard base-pairing at the 3rd anti-codon position. The record is from Rfam by way of RNAcentral. Lineage: Eukaryota; Metazoa; Chordata; Mammalia; Artiodactyla; Bovidae.